This 1983-nucleotide long non-coding RNA is filed under the name Anas zonorhyncha (Eastern spot-billed duck). Its description in RNAcentral is "lncRNA (ENSAZOG00000010827.1)". The record is from RNAcentral. Lineage: Eukaryota; Metazoa; Chordata; Aves; Anseriformes; Anatidae.
UGAGCAAAGAGUCACCCUCCAUCCUUUUUAUAAGCCCCCUUUAAGUACUGAAAAGCCGCAAUGAGGUCUCCCCGGAGCCUUCUCUUCUCCAGGCUGAACAUCCCCAGCUCCCUCAGCCAUUCUUCACAGGAGAGGCGCUCCAGCCCCUUGAUUACCUUCAUGGCCCUCUUUCGGACUGCUCUGACAGCCCCACAUCCUUCUCGUGCUGAGGGCAUCGAGCUGACUCCAAACCUUCCUUUUCCCGACGAAGGAGACGAAGGACUCCUUGAAACACAACAGCACAACACCUGCCUGCGCGCUGCCUGCCCAGCUUUCCCCCUCGCCAUCCUCCACCGGGUGACCCCAGCGCACAACCAGAGUCAAUAUUUGGCGUGACUCGGCGUGCAAACACAACCACGCCACGCCAAGCCAACGCCAAGCGCCGAACCGCUCUGCCGAGCGCCGAGGCAGCGCAGCGCCCAGCCGAGGGCAGGCUCCUGGACUCCUUUCCGAGCCGCUCUUGCUCGGUCUUGCCUCUGGGUGUCUUAAGCACGCCGCGGACGGCGGCCACGGCCGGGACACGGCGCUGGGGGGGAGCCGGGGGGCUCCCCCCUCUCCUCCCCUCCCCUCCCCUCCCCUNNNNNNNNNNNNNNNNNNNNNNCCCUCCCCUCCCCGCCCCGCCGUUCCGGGCCCCUCAGCGCCCGGUCCCUCAGGGCGGCCCCGCUCCCGCCCCGACCCCGUCUUGGAAAGCGCUGCCUCCGCGCCGUCCAACUUUAUAUUUGCCUUUAUUUUCCUCCCCCGGCUGCCAAGGGAGAGGUUUAUACACACAAUCAGAGCAAAUAGAAGGAGUUCAGCCGGAUCGCGUUUCACCGGCAGCCCCCCUUCCGAGGGGGCUUAACGGGGGGGAGAAGGAGCGAGCGGGGAGCGGCGGUGGCACGGCGGGCCAGCUCCGGCUCCUACCGGGAGCUGCCUUCCUCCCUCCUCCUCCUCCUCGUCAGCCCACCCGGCUCUCCGGGGAGCGCUUCCAGGCAGCGCCGGCAGCCCCGGGAAGCCGCCGGGGGCUGCCCCUGCCCAGAAGAGGCGACGCCGCACCGCCCGGACCCUCCCGCGGCCACCGCUCCGCCGCCCUUCCCGCUCGGCGGCGGCAGAAAGCAGCCGGCCCCCGGCCCCUUCCCCGCCCCAACACCGCCCCUUCCCCGCCGCCGCCCGAGCCUCAGGUUCCCGGUAAACCGGGGCCGGGGACCCGCCCGGAGGGAGCCGCGCCAGGGCCAUGAAUAUUUCAGCGCCUCCUCAGAGCGUUUNNNNNNNNNNNNNNNNNNNNNNNNNNNNNNNNNNNNNNNNNNNNNNNNNNNNNNNNNNNNNNNNNNNNNNNNGGUGGGGGGGGGGCUGUGCAGCAGCGACGCUCCCGAGGUUGCCAAGUGGACUUUUAUUGUUUUCCACCCACUUCCAAGUCGAUACUAUCUGCCGUCUCAUGUCCAUCCUAUAGCCUAUAUAAGCGGCUGCGCCGGCGAUGGAGUAGGUGGCGAAGGGACGGGAGGGGGGCGGGCGGGCCGACCGCCGACAACUCGGACUGUUCUGCUGCUGCUGCUGCUCCUACUGCUCCUGCUGCUCCUACUGCUCCUACUGCUGCUGCUCCUACUGCUGCUGUCCCUGCUGCUGCUGCUGCUGCCCGGGGAGAGCGGCCCCCGCGGGGAAGACAGCUCGCCUUGCGGCACGGAGAGCCAGCGGAAUAGGAAGCCUCCCCCGCCGGCAGCGGAUCGUUCCUCUUCAUCUGCUCGCUCGCCCUUCGGGUCAGGCUGCGAUGAGCGGACUGAGGUCUCCUGGGCUGCUGGGGCUGGUGCUCUUAAUGCUCUCGGCGGGAUAUUGCAAAGAGAAGAGCGACUCCGCGGAUCUGAAGGACAGGCAAAGCCUCUUAAAUCUUAUCAUGGAGAUCAUUCAGGAACUGAAGAGGUACCACCUGGAGAAGGACAGUGGGGUGCAGUACUUCUCCAAACACGACUAUAA